UUGGUCGCGGUCGUAGUGCCUGGUGCACUUGUUUCUUCGGGCAUUUAGAAUGUGCAGUGACGUGGUUAGGUGGAGUGGACUUAGUAGGUGGGUGGUGAAGGUGAGGCCGUCUCGCGUGGGUCCGCCGCCUCUUUUGUUUGGUACCGGCGAGGGCCGGUUGACGAGGGGAACUGGGCGAGCGAAGACGGAGGGAGGCGAGGGGGGAAGGAGAGGCCGGCGGCAGCGGACGGAGGAGGGCGGGCGCGAGUUUGGAGCGCAGGCGGAGGUACCGUCGGGGCGGCGGAGCGCACAGGAAGAGGAGAAGUCGGCGAGGCGGGAGACCGGCCCUUGUCCUGGGCGGGGCAACGACGCGGAGGACCCCGGAGGCGGCGGCCACCUCCGCUCCGCGUCCGAGACCGCCGCCUCAAGUACUGCAGACUCUCCCACUUCCACCGCCGCUACGACCCCGACCGGGAGCGCGAGACGUUGCGGCUGGCGCAGCAGUACAGGCACCGGUAGCAGGGCGAGAGGGUCCGCAUGCCUACCUGGGGAAGGAAGCGGCCGCAGCACGUCAGCAGGAAGGAAACCCCUAUAGACUAUAGUGGAUAUUAGCCACCUCGCGAACAACUGAUGAUGCCGCCCUUCGCUCAGUACCGCAUACCACACCGAAAUACCAGGAAGCGAUGUAAGGAAAGGGGAACCCGUCGACGUGCGAGUGAAACCAACAAGUAGAGUUGAUCUUAAGACGAGCCACAACGUCUUCCUCACCGUAACGGUACAUACUUGUUAUACCACGACUCCACCAAAGGAGCAUGACUUGCUAGAUCACGACACCCCUAGCGCUACCGACCGAAAGUCGAACCUUUAUGGUAGCCGAAUGAAGAAAGGGGAUAAUAGUACAGUGCUUGACCUUGUAAACCUGGGAAACACUAAAAACCAAACAAACCUAAAGACACCCACGACCACACCUAUAGACGAUAUUGCCCUUGAGGACCACUUGUAGGAGUUUAUAGUCGUAUACUUGAUCUCAUAUAAUGUUUCCCAGUCUUUAACCACUUUGGAGUUCAAGUUUCACUUUUUGAUUCUUUCUAGGGAGGCAAAUCUUUGGAUGAAAGAUUUACCGGCUGGACCCGAAAUUAAAGACGUUUACGAUACGUAUCGACCCCGAUAAAGCAGUAGGAAAGUACCUACGGUCACAUAAAGUUUUGGUAUAAAGUACAGUUAGACUCUCUUCGACGUACCAAAUCACGUUAAGGGACCCAGUACUACCGUCAAAAUCCAAUACACCGACCACAACAUAGUCUGCGUGAAUAGGCCUUACCGUGUUCGUAAUGAAAUUGAGCCUUCUAUUACGUCUGUUAACCGAAACACCCAGGACCAUAACGAGAAUAACCAAACUUACGUCGUUUCUCAGGUCGGUAACGAAGUCGAACCGAUUGAUAACGACAACCAAACUUCAGGAAACCAGUGAGUCCUAAGGAACAUUUAAAAGUCCUCUAGCGGGGUGUUAUACGACCUCACGAUGUACCUUACCGUUUAUGCCGCCCUUGUAAACGACGGUAAAAUCCUUGAUAACCUCGUCCUAAGAAACAACUAGCCUACCCAAGAAAGGCACCUAAAAAUUGUAAUUGUAGUGAAGAUAUAAAGUCGUCACGGGACAAGACCCUAUAGAAACGAUGACCUCUCGCACAACUAAAACUACCGUCAUCGAUCGCCAUUUCUCUUUUAUAUAUCAUUUGUUAAACUACUAAGUGACCCUCAUAACACCGUAAUAGUAUACCCUAUCAUGGCCUUUAAAGGCACUUGCUCUCUACUCGUAAUGUGUAGGCCUGAUGUUGUAGCACACGAAGCUACAUCACCUUCAUACACCACUUAACAGAAUAACACCUUCGUCCCAAAGUCUCCAAAUCUAGUACACUUAGAAAGACUACGCGUUCAGGCUUUACACUUAAAGUCCUCAGUUCCUAUGGACUUCGUACGGUCUCUUAUUUACCGCCACAUCCUCGACAUGAAAUCCCCACCGUUUGACCGCUACCGUCACCAUCUCUGGCUUUUAUUACCUGUCAUACCAACUUACCGAACUAGAUCGUAUCAAACCACUCCGUUCUCAACGGGAACAAAUUUUACCGAUCGUCAACAUGACGUACUAAUCACUUUUCCACUCUGGUCCUUGAGUGUUUGUUUCACCCCUUGGACAACUCCCACAUUUCUGUCAUUAUAUUCAACACCUCCCGUAAAUUUGAGUAUUACACUCUGUAAAAUCGAACUCGGCCGCAAAGUACUAUCGACAGGUAACUGGCUUCCUCUUAAUAUCAAUAACGUUACAGAAUGACAAGUAUUUACACGCCUUUUAUAUCAUACCAUGAACAUUGAUAGUCGUAUGGAUCAGGGGA
Molecule: ribosomal RNA, 2372 nt
Filed under: Triticum aestivum (bread wheat)
Lineage: Eukaryota; Viridiplantae; Streptophyta; Magnoliopsida; Poales; Poaceae
Description: partial small subunit ribosomal RNA
Source: RNAcentral